This 405-nucleotide ribosomal RNA is filed under the name uncultured bacterium. RNAcentral describes it as "bacterial SSU rRNA". It matches the Rfam family "Bacterial small subunit ribosomal RNA", at positions 917 to 1322 of the family's 1533-position model. The record is from RNAcentral.
GGACCCGCACAAGUAGUGGAGCAUGUGGUUUAAUUCGAAGAUACGCGCAGAACCUUACCAACACUUGACAUGUUCGUCGCGACUUUAAGAGAUUGAAGUUUUCGGUUCGGCCGGACGAAACACAGGUGCUGCAUGGCUGUCGUCAGCUCGUGUCGUGAGAUGUUGGGUUAAGUCCCGCAACGAGCGCAACCCUCACUUUUAGUUGCCAUCAUUUAGUUGGGCACUCUGAAAGAACUGCCAGUGAUAAGCUGGAGGAAGGUGGGGAUGACGUCAAGUCCUCAUGGCCCUUACGUGUUGGGCUACACACGUGCUACAAUGAUAUUUACAACAGGAAGCAAAACGGCGACGUUAAGCAAAUCCUUAAACGUUCGUAGUCCGGAUCGCAGUCUGCAACUCGACUGCGUG